UUCCAUGAAGCUGGAAUUGCUAGUAAUGGCAGGUCAGCAUACUGCCGUGAAUACGUUCCCGGGCCUUGUACACACCGCCCGUCACACCAUGAGAGUUGGAAAUACCCGAAGCCUGUGAGCUAACUUAAAGAGGCAGCAGUCGAAGGUAGAGCCAAUGAUUGGGGUGAAGUCGUAACAAGGUAGC
RNAcentral lists this ribosomal RNA (184 nucleotides) under uncultured bacterium. RNAcentral's name for it is "partial 16S ribosomal RNA". It matches the Rfam family "Bacterial small subunit ribosomal RNA", at positions 1316 to 1500 of the family's 1533-position model. The record is from RNAcentral.